CAGUAGCGUAUAUUAAUAUUGUUGCAGUUAAAAGGCUCGUAGUCGAAUGUUUGAAUUUCAAAGUUUACCCGUAUCUAGAAUAAUGAGUGUAAACAUUUGUGAUCAUAUUUUGAAAUAAUGCCUGCUCUUGACUGAGUUGGGUAUUCAUCUCAAAGCUUUUACUGUGAAUAAAUCAAUGUGUUCAAAGCGGAUGAAAGUCCGGAAUGCUACAGCAUGGAAUAAAAAUAUACGGCUUGGAGUCUUUUUUUGGCUUCUAGAAACCAAGUAAUGAUCGAAAGAAGUAAUUGGGGGUGCUAGUACUUGACGGCAAGUGGUGAAAUGCUUAGACCCGUUAAAGACUAUCUAAAGCGAAAGCAUUCACCAAAGAUAUUUUCUUUGA
RNAcentral lists this ribosomal RNA (379 nucleotides) under uncultured eukaryote. Its description in RNAcentral is "partial 18S ribosomal RNA". It matches the Rfam family "Eukaryotic small subunit ribosomal RNA", at positions 592 to 976 of the family's 1831-position model. The record is from RNAcentral.